This 253-nucleotide ribosomal RNA is filed under the name uncultured bacterium. RNAcentral's name for it is "partial 16S ribosomal RNA". It matches the Rfam family "Bacterial small subunit ribosomal RNA", at positions 524 to 776 of the family's 1533-position model. The record is from RNAcentral.
UACGGAGGAUCCGAGCGUUAUCCGGAAUUAUUGGGUUUAAAGGGUGCGCAGGCGGGGAUCUAAGUCAGGGGUGAAAGACGGUGGCUCAACCAUCGCAGUGCCUUUGAUACUGGAUUCCUUGAAUAUACCUGAGGUAGGCGGAAUGUGGCAAGUAGCGGUGAAAUGCAUAGAUAUGCCACAGAACACCGAUUGCGAAGGCAGCUUACCAAAGUAUGAUUGACGCUGAGGCACGAAAGCGUGGGGAUCGAACAGG